UUAGGUUAAAUUUUAUUAUGUGAUUAAUUAAAUUAAAUGUGAGAGACAUUUAAUUUAAUUAAUUAAUGUUAAGUUUGGUGAUUAAAACUUAAUAAGAGUGAAAAAAUGUGUCAAAAGUCAAUUUGGACUUUUCUUCUUAUAAACCUUUAUUAACCUUUAUAAAAAAAUAAAAAAUAAAUAAAAAAAAUUAAUGGUCAUAUAUAUGGAAAAUGAUGGCUGGCCAUGUGCUAUUUUAGAGUGGUGUGAACCCAAUUUUAUAAAAUUCAAAUCCCAUUUAAUUAAGAAGUCAAGUGGGCAAGUGGGUAGAAAAGCACUCAAGUGUUUUGUGAUAUUUUGAAGAGUUGUGUGAGCCAUUCUAACCCCCAAAUCCGACCACUCUCCCUCCCUCAUUCACUCUCAUCUGAUUUUUGAAGACUCUCUCAAGUGUUCUCUCCAUUUUCAACCCCAAGAACACCAAAGAAACUUGGAAGCUAAGUCUUGGUCUAGGAAGGGUUUUCCCUAAGGUAAAGUUUCAUUAAUCUAGACUUUUGUCAAGUUUUAAUCAUAGAGUUUCAAAUAGCUAAUUACCUAUGUUGUUGGAGGAAGUUGGUUAGGGUUUUUGAAAGGUUUUGAAGGAGUCAAAGCUUAUAGGAAGGUCCAAACCUUAAGCAAGAACACCAAAGAGGUAAGAGCAAAGGCAAGGCAGAGCAGUGAGCGUUGGAGUCUUCCUUGCAAAUGUACAUGUGGACCGACCUUUUGGGAAGCCUUUUUAUUUUUGGAAAUGUUGUGUAAUUUUCCUAAACUAGGCUCACUCUAAUCUUUGUAAAACAUGUUUGUAACUAAAUGUUAAGUAUGGCCAUACGACUUUUUAAAAAGUUUUUUUUUUC
Humulus lupulus (European hop) is the source of this 866-nucleotide long non-coding RNA. RefSeq lists it as uncharacterized. The record is from RefSeq and is a predicted model, not a curated record. Lineage: Eukaryota; Viridiplantae; Streptophyta; Magnoliopsida; Rosales; Cannabaceae. The transcript is spliced from 2 exons.